GAUCCUGGCUCAGGAUGAACGCUGGCGGCGUGCCUAAUACAUGCAAGUCGAGCGAACAGACGAGGAGCUUGCUUCUCUGACGUUAGCGGCGGACGGGUGAGUAACACGUGGAUAACCUACCUAUAAGACUGGGAUAACUUCGGGAAACCGGAGCUAAAUACCGGAUAAUAUAUUGAACCGCAUGGUUCAAUAGUGAAAGACGGUUUUGCUGUCACUUAUAGAUGGAUCCGCGCCGCAUUAG
This 241-nucleotide ribosomal RNA is filed under the name uncultured bacterium. Its description in RNAcentral is "partial 16S ribosomal RNA". It matches the Rfam family "Bacterial small subunit ribosomal RNA", at positions 15 to 244 of the family's 1533-position model. The record is from RNAcentral.